Thermosediminibacter oceani DSM 16646 is the source of this 101-nucleotide non-coding RNA. The record is from Rfam. NCBI's taxonomy places the organism in Bacteria, Bacillati, Bacillota, Clostridia, Thermosediminibacterales, Thermosediminibacteraceae.
UCAGCCUUUAAACUGGUCCUGUGAGGCUAGUAAGGCGAAGGGGUUUGACAUAAAUAUGAAGGAAAGCCUUUCUCCGCCUGACGGGGAAGGGCUUUUUUGAU